Small nucleolar RNA from Ornithorhynchus anatinus (platypus), 138 nucleotides. The record is from RefSeq and is a predicted model, not a curated record. Lineage: Eukaryota; Metazoa; Chordata; Mammalia; Monotremata; Ornithorhynchidae.
CCCCUCUCAGGGUCUCACCUGGAGAGUUCUCAGUACUCUAUCUGUCUCGAAUACGAGAGGGAGAGUCAGGCAGAGGCAUAUCCAUUCCAUUCCUACCUUGGGCAGUGGCUAGCGAGUGGAGGACAAUCUGCUUCAAGU